This 253-nucleotide ribosomal RNA is filed under the name uncultured bacterium. RNAcentral's name for it is "partial 16S ribosomal RNA". It matches the Rfam family "Bacterial small subunit ribosomal RNA", at positions 524 to 776 of the family's 1533-position model. The record is from RNAcentral.
UACGAAGGGGGCUAGCGUUGUUCGGAAUCACUGGGCGUAAAGCGUACGUAGGCGGACCAUUAAGUCGGGGGUGAAAUCCCAGGGCUCAACCCUGGAACUGCCUUCGAUACUGGUGGUCUGGAGUCCGGGAGAGGUGAGUGGAACUCCUAGUGUAGAGGUGAAAUUCGUAGAUAUUAGGAAGAACACCAGUGGCGAAGGCGGCUCACUGGCCCGGUACUGACGCUGAGGUGCGAAAGCGUGGGGAGCAAACAGG